UUGAACGCUGGCGGAAUGCUUUACACAUGCAAGUCGCACGGCAGCACGGGGGCAGCCCUGGUGGCGAGUGGCGAACGGGUGAGUAAUACAUCGGAACGUGCCCGGUCGUGGGGGAUAACGUAGCGAAAGUUACGCUAAUACCGCAUACGAUCUGAGGAUGAAAGCGGGGGACCUUCGGGCCUCGCGCGAUCGGAGCGGCCGAUGUCAGAUUAGGUAGUUGGUGGGGUAAAGGCCUACCAAGCCGACGAUCUGUAGCUGGUCUGAGAGGACGACCAGCCACACUGGGACUGAGACACGGCCCAGACUCCUACGGGAGGCAGCAGUGGGGAAUUUUGGACAAUGGGCGCAAGCCUGAUCCAGCCAUUCCGCGUGCAGGACGAAGGCCUUCGGGUUGUAAACUGCUUUUGUACGGAACGAAAAGGCUCUGGCUAAUACCUGGGGCUCAUGACGGUACCGUAAGAAUAAGCACCGGCUAACUACGU
This 482-nucleotide ribosomal RNA is filed under the name uncultured bacterium. RNAcentral describes it as "partial 16S ribosomal RNA". It matches the Rfam family "Bacterial small subunit ribosomal RNA", at positions 30 to 506 of the family's 1533-position model. The record is from RNAcentral.